Molecule: non-coding RNA, 2981 nt
Organism: Danio rerio (zebrafish)
Lineage: Eukaryota; Metazoa; Chordata; Actinopteri; Cypriniformes; Danionidae
Source: RefSeq, a predicted model, not a curated record
UCGAGAGGAUGCACCUCUGACGUAACGGCACAAUAAAGUAGUCGCUAUAUAUCUGCUCGCUCUCACAAAUUUGAGAAAAGCGUCUUGUCGUGGCAGGGGACGUUAUACAUGGUUAUCCAAAUCUUGGAAUACGGACACUUAUAGGUCCCCCAUCACAUUACGUUUCUCAGAAAUGACCUGUGUUCAAAGUCAACAUGGAGUCCAGUCCUACGAGAGCUCCCUCUUCAGCUCAGAGUUUCUGAAUCCUGACUUCACCUCCAGGUUGGCCAUGGAUGUGACCGAGCAGCGGGAACAGCUCUCUGCGCCCUCCCUACCCAGCAUCACUUCUCUGGUUGGGGGAUACGUUGGCGAGUUUGACACCUACUCAUGCCAGAUCGCCACAGGAGCUGCUUCUACCUGUGUGGGCAGCACCUCCGGGCAGCUGGACUCCUUCAAGCUGGAUGACCUCCAGGUGUAUGGCUGCUACCCGGGCACGUUUGCUUUGAGCUACCUGGACGAGACGCUGUCCUCUUCGGGUGGGUCAAACUGCUUUGGAAGUCCGGCAUCUGCACCGUCUCCCUCCACCCCGGGAUACCAGCACAUGUCUGCAUGGGACAGCACCUUUGGUCCCUGCUCUCCUGACGAGGGUUGCUGGGGUUCUGAGAAGCCUCUGAACCAGGCAGCAUCUUUCUUCACAUUUGGGCACGUCACGGCUGAUGAGCUUUCCCCACUGGGACAGAUGCAGUCACAGAUCCCAGAUCAGGAUCCCUUUUCUCAUACUCCGCAACAUGGUUCUCCACUUCCCUUCAGUCCACUCAGCUUAGAGCAGGGCAGCCGGGAUGGAUCGGGACUGAUGGACGGACACUUGUCUCCUAAAGUGAGGAGCCCCACAGGAAAUGAGGGACGCUGCGCCGUGUGCGGAGACAAUGCUUCUUGUCAGCAUUACGGGGUGCGCACUUGUGAAGGAUGCAAAGGCUUUUUCAAGCGCACAGUACAGAAGAACGCCAAAUAUGUUUGUCUCGCCAACAAAGACUGUCCAGUGGAUAAAAGGCGGAGAAACAGAUGCCAGUUCUGCCGCUUCCAAAAGUGCCUAGCUGUGGGGAUGGUGAAGGAAGUUGUAAGAACAGACAGCCUGAAAGGAAGAAGGGGGCGUCUGCCAUCCAAACCCAAAGCUGUUCAGGACUCAGUGUCUGUCUCUUCACCUGUGAACAUCAUCGCCUCUCUCGUUACUGCCCAUAUCGACUCAAACCCUGCCAGUGCAAAUCUGGACUAUUCAAAGUAUCAGGAAUCAACAUCUGGAUUGCCUGAGAAGGAAGAUGCCAACGACAUACAGCAGUUUUAUGACCUGCUAACAGGGUCAAUGGAUGUGAUCAGGAAGUGGGCUGGAAGCAUCCCUGGAUUCAGUGCCUUUUGUAAGGAGGACCAAGAGCUUCUUCUGGAGUCAGCUUUUGUUGAGCUCUUCAUACUUCGUCUAGCUUACAGGUCAAACCCUGAGACAGACAAACUUAUUUUCUGCAAUGGUGUGGUUUUGCACCGGACGCAGUGCGUACGAAGCUUUGGUGAUUGGAUUGACUCAAUUAUGGAGUUCUCUCAGAGUUUACAUCGCUUGAAUUUGGACAUAUCUGCUUUUUCCUGUCUUGCCACACUGGUCAUAAUCACAGAUCGACAUGGCCUGAAAGAGCCCAAACGGAUCGAAGACUUCCAAAACCGUUUGAUCACAUGUCUCAGAGACCACGUCUCCACAAGUGCCCUUGAGGUCGGCCGGCCCAACUCUCUGUCCCGACUGCUGAGCAAGCUCCCAGAGCUGAGAACACUGUGCACCCAAGGCCUCCAGCGAAUCUUCUAUCUCAAACUGGAAGACUUGGUCCCACCUCCACCCAUUGUGGAUAAAAUCUUCAUGGACACGUUGCCAUUCUGAAUGUGACUUUAUAAAUGGACAACCAGGGUGAUGAACUGAGGAUAUGGGAUGUUUGGGGAGCUCUUAAGGGUCUGACUAGUCAAAGGACUUUAUCGCUUACGGUUUCUCUGCUUUCUUGGAAAGGGAGUCAGAGAAGGAUGACAUUCUACUUAACGCCUGUGUUUGAAGACCUUCAUCGCAUCGUCUUCAACACUGAACCUACUAAGUGACUGUAUGCAUUCAAUAGACAUGUCAUUAUCAGACAUGGACUUUCAAAUCUUAGUGUGUUUCAAGCUGAAAUGGUGGCUUUAGUCGGUAACAUUUCAGGUCAAUGGUGCAAAUCAAAUGCUCUACAUGUGUGACUUCUGAAAGAAAUGAUAUUCCCAUCAGUAUUACACCAAUGUUCAGAGAGCAUAUUCCAGAUGAACAGCAUCCAAAGAUCCAUCUUCAAGAAAGAAAGGCCAUGGACCAAAACAAGGAGUAGAAACAGCAUUUAUUUGGAUGCUUAAAUGAUCAGACAAAGCCUUAAAUACAUUCAAGUGCCGAAGCAUUAUCUAUCUUAAAGGGGCUAUAUGUAGAAUCCAGAAUCUAAGGCCACUGGCUUUUUAAUUAACCAGUCAUCGUCUUAUUCACAACACAAAAUAGACAACCUAGGUCUCAUUUUCAAGUUUUAUUACAAGAUUAAUACAUCCAGUCCCUUUAAAAACGCUCAAAAAUGUGCUCAAACAGAAAAACACUCAAACACUUGAGAACAGGAUUGAUGUGAAUGCGUGUAUUUUAACAGUGAUUAGUUCAUAUAAAAGGUGGUGUGAGAUCCAGUGCAGCUACUGUACAUGUACAGCCUCGUACACAUGCAAAUACUUGGAGUAUUACAGAUGCCUGGCUUAGUGUGCGGUACCAGUCAGACUAUAGAAGAAUCAUAUUUGUAUGUAUGUAUUUUGAGGAUGUAAAUGUUUGUUUAGAGCUUCUGCAGACUAUUUUUUUUCCGCAUAUUGAAAAUCAAGAUCGGGCAUUCUCAGUUUUUUAUAUAUAUAAAAUGAGAGGUAUUGCUUAUCUUUCAUUCAUUUUGUGCAGCUCUAUAUGGAAUAAAUUUGAAACUAAUCAU